Molecule: transfer RNA, 72 nt
Filed under: Chondromyces crocatus
Lineage: Bacteria; Pseudomonadati; Myxococcota; Polyangiales; Polyangiaceae
Rfam family: tRNA
About the family: Transfer RNA (tRNA) molecules are approximately 80 nucleotides in length.
Source: Rfam by way of RNAcentral
GCCCUCGUAGCUCAAUGGUCAGAGCUCCUACCCCGUAAGUAGGUGAUCCCGGUUCGAUUCCGGGAGAGGGCU